This 5234-nucleotide long non-coding RNA is filed under the name Equus caballus (horse). RNAcentral describes it as "lncRNA (ENSECAG00000050139.1)". Lineage: Eukaryota; Metazoa; Chordata; Mammalia; Perissodactyla; Equidae. The record is from RNAcentral.
UGUCCGUCUCCACACAGUAGCUCCACGGGGCGCUGGCUUUGUCCCAGGCUGGGUCUCUGUGCCUAGAACGGUGCUUGGUGUGGUAGGCACGGUGUUCUCUGUCGGAUUCGAUGCUGGAUCUACUGGAAAAUGUAACCAGCUAUUUGAAGAGUACCUGGAAAAUCAACAUUUAAUGGAUUUAUGAAAAAAGAGGAGAAAAUGAAGAUCUAAAUAGGCAAAUAAGGAAAUGAGGUCACCAACCAGGAUCAGGAUGAGGAAGGAGGUGAUGGAGAUUUGAGGUGAGAGGAGACAUCCAGGAGAGUGACGGAGUGAAUGGGCAAAGCAUGUGAUGCCAUCUCCCCUUCAGCUGUUGUCCACAUUUCUCAAUUCCCAUUUACAGCAAAACUCCCCCAAAGAGUGAUUAUACUCCCUGCCUUCAGUUCUACUUCCUGCUCAUCUUGAAACCACUCUAAUCAAGUAUUCACUCAAAAUGCCUCUGAAACUAUUGUCAAGGUCACUGGUGAAUUACAUGUUAUUAAAUUUAACAGUCAAUUUUCAGUCCUUAACUUUCUCGACUUAUCAGUGGCAUUUGAUAGUGGAUUGCUCCCUUCCCUGUGAAAAAAUUUCUUUGCUUGUCUUCUGUUUUGCGGCUGCUUGCCUACUUCCUCCUUCUCUGUCUACGGUACCAAUUCUUCAUCCUCUCUCUGACUUAAAUAUUGGAGAACUCAGGUUUCAUUCCCUGGAGCUUGUCUCUAACCACACUCGCUCUGUUGGUGGUCUCAUCCACAUAUAUGUGGAAGGCUUCCAAAUUUAUAUCUCCAUCACAGACCUUUCCCCUGAACUCCAAGUGCAUAGACCCAACUGCUCACUUGACAUCUGCACUUGAAUGUCUAACAGGCUUCUCUAACCAAACUUCUAAUCUUUCCUCCAAAAAACUCACUCCACUCCUGAUUCCUCCCCAUUGCAGGAAAUGAUAACUCUACGCUCUUAGUUGCUCAGGCUAAAAAUUUGGGAGUCAUCCUUGCCUCUUCCCUUUCUCUUAUAUUACACAUUCAACUCUGUAAGCAAAUCCUGUUGUUUCUACCUUCAAGAUAGAGUCAAUGUCUGAUGGUCUCUUACCACCUUGUUGCUUCCAUUCUGGUCUAAGUUGCUGUCAUCUCCCACCUGGAUGGCUGCAGCAGCCCUGUAACCAGUGUCCCUGUGACGUCAGCAGUCUUUUCUCCCAAGCAGCAGCCACAGGGAGGUCAGGGAGGACUUCCUGAAGAAGUAAUUCUCGAACCAAGAUAGGGAAGAAGAGGAGGAGAAGCUGAAUACGCCAAGAGGAGAGAAGAUCCUUCCAGGCAAAGGGAAAUACACCUUCCUGUGGGUGGAAGCGUGGUGAGAGCAAGGGACUAAGGAAGGCCUCAUUCCCUUGUAUCGGACACCUCCCUGAUGGCUGACAUGAGGGCCACCAGGAACGCAGGCUCAGUUCAACACACUGAUGACCGUGAAGUUACUGUGUUAGUCUUUCUGGUCCCAAGUUCAGAAAUUCCAGGGAAAGACUUUGAUGAACCCUCUUGGGUCAGGGGACUAGUUGGAGGGGUGGAGCAGCAUGCCUGGGCCAGCUUGGGUCACUUCCUCACCCUGAGACAAAUCCCUGUGGCCAGAGAGGUGAGAUCUCUAAAAAGAUGGCAGCUACCUCCAAAUCCCCCUUCAAACGUGGAGAGGCACAUUUCCCCCGGAGAACAUGAGGAUGCUCCACUGACUAGACAAGGCACUAGAUGCCCACUGUAGUGACUGAGCAGGAGGGGCUUUUUGUGGUCCAAGAAUUAAGAGGUUGGAGACAUAGUGUUCGGAGAAGCAAGAUGACACCACGUUGGAACUUUGGGAAGAAAAAACCUUAGGAAAAACUUCCUGUAUCAGGAAGUGGCAAGUAAACUGUGAGUAGUGAUAUUUUAGUCAGUUUUAAGUUGAAUAAAUGCCCUGUGCGGUUCCCAGGGAAAGCUGUUGCCUGUGAAAGCUUUGUGUUAAUGGGGCCUGAUCCAAUUAACAAGACGGGCCGUGUCCUCUUCAAGGAGAAGAAGUUUAAUAGAAGAUAGAAACCUGCAGGAGCAGUUGUUCCAUGAUGGAUGGUGACUGCCAACUGAACUGGGAGUUAUAGUUUUUCAGAAAGAAAAAAAGAAGGAAGGUGAUAGGUGAGCAUCAGGAAAAUGCUAGCACCAUUUUCCUUUCCGAUCUCAGCAUCAUCUCGCACUGGUGCUCAGUCCUUCCUAUUUGUCUCUCUACAUCCAUUUUACACCAUCAUCCCAGUUUGUGGAGAGACUGACCUGAAUGAACUGUGUUCAUGAGCAUCCUUGUGUGCUACCCAUGAGAUGACCAGCAGCGUGGGGAGGAGGUGAGGCAGGGUGUUUAGUCCGGGGCUCCCUGUUGGUUCACCCUGGUCCUGUAGAACGACAGGGCAGCAUCUGCUCUCUCCAGGGGUAGUGACAGCUUUCUGCUAUUGUUGGUCCUGAGAUCCUCCUCCAUUCCUUACUUCUCCAAACUCUGCUCACUCUUUUUGUGAACAAUCCCCUUGUUAAACUCUAUUCAAUUUCCCAGUCUGAGUGCACAAUUUAUUUCCUGCUGGGACUCAGGCUGAUAUAAGGACGUGGGGUAUUCUAACUGAACAAUUUUAGGGAGCUAAAGAAGAUAGGGGUGAUUGCAGACUGUUUUGUGGAGUUUGUGUAGAGGCACAAAGACAAAUCUGAGGAGACUGAAGUUAUACCGCAAAACGCCCCACAGAGAACACGCACUCACUGAAACCAGAUGUCUGCAACAGUCAGAGAAGGAAGCAGCCUGAUGCCAAAUGGUCCACAUCCAGGUGAUCAUCACAAAGGUAGAAACAUGAAUUAGAAUACAUUUUGGAGAAGUUUGCAAACGGAUGAUGCCCUUUCUGCAUUAUUGAACUCUAGCCAGUCAAAGGUUCACAGAAAGGUGAUGAUAAUAAUGCACUUUUUCUCUAUUUCUUUGGCGUGUACACCCUCCAGCUUUAAUGUCUCCUUUGUUGUAACAUUUAUUUGGCAUGUCCUGUGAUCCUUGCAUGAUAUUGAUCUAUAAAAUUGGAUGAACAAACAGGCCACCAGUUCACCUGUAUCGAAAUAGCUCUAAAGGGGAAGACAUCUGGGUGGAUAGAUGAGACGGCACUUACGCAGCCAGAGGAACCCAAAAUAAACAGAAGGAAAAAAAAUAAACCUGAGAUGCCGCAGAAUUCGGGAAGCAAUUUAUAUACUAACUCUAUGACGGUGGAGGAACUUUCAGGAGAAAAAGUCUGACAUUAACCUACGAUGGAGACAGCAGGCUGCACUCAGUGAUCGGUAGGCACAGUUUUUGAAAUGAGUGUGCGUUGCACUUGCACUUGCAUUUGUGAGUGUGCACAAUGCUCAUAGAUAGAAGAGAAAGAGCAAGUUAUGGUUCCUUGUUAUGAUCUUAGCUUAGUGCAUCACCUGACAAAGGGCUUUGCAUAUUGAAAAUGUAAGCAUUAGUUGAACAAAUGAACAGAAAUGUCUGCUGAAAAAUGAGCACAAACCACCAGCAUGUUAAUAAAUGAACACUUUUGUUCUCAGUGUAAUGUUCUGCUUGUUUAACUGAUUGUUGUUUUGAUUGCAAUCUCUUCACUGACGAUAGUAUUGAUAAACCUAUCAAAGAGAUAUAUUGAGUGUCUGUUUACUGAAAGUAAAUUGCUGGGAUUUCAAACACCUUUUGGAUCUACUCCUAAAGGAGUUAUAAAACAUCUCUUAAUUUGUUAAUCAUUAAUAUUUGGCCCCUGUGACUUGUGUGUGUAAAUAUACACAGUAGAUGCUCAUUUUGUCAAGUUGUUUCUGACUCAGAUGCUGUGUUUCCUUGGCCACUUCUAACCUGAGCAAAAGUGUGGGUGACAGAGUAGUGAAAAUCCAGAGUCUCCAUCACGAGUCUCCAUCACAUGAACAAGUAGAAGAUGUGUCCCCACAUGGAGGCUUACUGCCAUCGUCUUUAUGUAUUUAUGAAUUUGCAUAGUAACGAAUGCCCUUUUAGGUUGAAUUAUUAGAAUUUUAUCAAUGCCUCGAUCGUUACUUCAAAAACUAAUUUUGUGCCAUCUGUGUUCAUUGGAUGAGAGGAAAAAGGAGAAAAUAUAUUUCAUAUGUCAGACUCCUACAUAAAUGUAGGUGCAGCUUUGACUUGAGAUGCAACACUGGGCUGCUAUGGAAUUUUUACAUGCUGUGUAAUAAAAGUCUGCAAUCUGAUACCUCACACAUCUCCAUUAACCUCCGACAUUGAAUUUGUUCGAUUCUGAUUGUUUUUUCAUUGAUACAAGUGUUUGGUGAGGAAUUAGGAGCUUUCCUUCACAAAUGUUUUGUUUGAUUUACAGCAUUUUGGGCUGUGAUAUUCCUGGUUAGAAUACUUUACUGUUGAAUUCUUUAAAAAAAAAAAUCAGUGGAACUCCCAGAGGAUAAUGUGCAUCAGUUCUAUGUUAAAUUCUUUGUUCAGACUUAUUAUUUCAGCCUCCAAAAUGUGUUUUCACUAACAUAAUAGCGUGAUAAAUGCAAAAAGUGUGUGCGCAGCUUUAAACAUUUGGAAAUGCUUCUAAAGGUCGCUUUUCUACUGGGCAGCUUACUUUUUCUAUAAAGCUGUUUCUGUUCCAUACCCUACUGUCCCAAGGUUUCCAAAAGUUGAACAUGAACUCUGGAGGAAUUCUCCUUUGGACUUAAAAACUGGAGUUGCCUGGCAGACAGUUUUUAUUCUUGUCUGACUGAGUUCCCCAGCUUUCUCCCUUCUUGUGUCCUUGGACAUCAGUUUCACUUGUUUUCCUUUGAAUGGGUCAGAGUGGUUUCUCAACUUACAGUACAUAAACCUCCCAGCUAAGUGUCAUGUUCGUCCUGGACUGUCCAUGCUGCUCCACUCUCCUGUUUAACCUUCCUCAUCACCUCCUCUCCUCCAGCACUUAGUAGACAUGAACCAUCAAAAUUCAAUGCCACCACCAAAACAGCCUACAUCACGAAGACAGUCUACCCCUUUACACCCGUAUCUGCUCUUCCCGAGCUGGCAGCCAGUAGCCACAUGUGGCUGUUCAGCACCUGCCGUGGAGCUAGUCCAAAUUGAGAUGGGCUGUAAGUGUGAAGCAUGUACCAGAUUUCCAAGACUUAGUGCAAAUAAAAAGGAUGUAAACAUCUUAUUAAUAAUUUUUACAUUGAUUACAUGUUGAAAUGGUGAUAUUUUAAGCUUGUUGGUUUAAAUAUAAUGUUUCAUUAAGAAAUUAAAAU